Molecule: ribosomal RNA, 403 nt
Filed under: uncultured bacterium
Lineage: Bacteria
Description: bacterial SSU rRNA
Rfam family: Bacterial small subunit ribosomal RNA
Source: RNAcentral
UAGGGAAUUUUCCACAAUGGACGAGAGUCUGAUGGAGCAAUACCGCGUGAUGGAUGAAGGCUCUAGGGUCGUAAACAUCUUUUAUCUGUGACGAAUAUGACGGUAGCAGAUGAAUAAGGGUCGGCUAACUACGUGCCAGCAGCCGCGGUCAUACGUAGGACCCAAGCGUUAUCCGGAUUUACUGGGCGUAAAGAGUUGCGUAGGUGGCAGAGUAAGUAAAUAGUGAAAUCCUGGGGCUCAACCCCUUCAACAUUAUUUAAACUGCUCAGCUUGAGAAUGAGAGAGGUAGAUGGAAUUGCUAGUGUAGGAGUGAAAUCCGUAGAUAUUAGCAGGAACACCGAUGGCGUAGGCAGUCUACUGGCUCAUUUCUGACACUAAGGCACGAAAGCGUGGGGAGCAAACG